This is a long non-coding RNA of Suricata suricatta (meerkat), 247 nucleotides long. RefSeq lists it as uncharacterized. The record is from RefSeq and is a predicted model, not a curated record. Lineage: Eukaryota; Metazoa; Chordata; Mammalia; Carnivora; Herpestidae. The transcript has 3 exons.
CACAUAGCCUGGGGAUCAGAUGUGUGAGGGAAGGAGACUUCAGAUGGUCCCAGUCACCAGCUAUGGAGACACCCUCAGGCCUUUGUCCCUCGGAGAGGCAGGACAGUACAGUGAAGCAUAGAGUGCCGUUUUCUACAGAUGAUGUGAUGCGUGAUAUUGCGAGGGAUUGAUGCAGUAACAGAUACAAAAAUCCAGCUGCCUUCUAUCAAACCAGAUACAAAUUACAAAGAUUUUCAAAAUUGUGAAA